UAUGUGAUCGUCUCUCGCAUAUCAAUAAGCGGAGGAAAAGAAACUAACAAGGAUUCCCUUAGUAACGGCGAGUGAAGCGGGAAGAGCUCAAAUUUGAAAUCUUCAAGGUUUUACCUUGACGAAUUGUAGUUUAAAGAAGUGUUUUCUGUUGAAGUUUUGGUAAAAGUUCUUUGGAAUAGGACAUCAUAGAGGGUGAGAAUCCCGUAUUUGACCAUUAUUUUCAGCUGUGUGAUACACUUUCAAAGGAGGUCGGAUUGUUUGGGAAUGCAGUCCAAAAUGGGUGGUAAAUUUCAUCUAAAGCUAAAUAUUGGCGAGAGACCGAUAGCGAACAAGUACCGUGAGGGAAAGACUGAAAAGAACUUUGAAAAGAGAGUUAAACAGUACGUGAAAUUGUCAAAAGGGAAGCGUUUGACACCAGUGUUGUUUUCUCGAAAAUCAACUUAAAAAGAGUUAGAUUUUGUUGUGUAUUGACCUUAACAGCUUGCAUUUCAAUUUUCUUGCUUUUUUUAAUGCACUUUUCGUUUAACAAGUCAACAUCAGUUUCUUUUGUUGUAAAAAGGUCAUUGGAAGGUGGCUUUCUUUUCGGAGAAAGUGUUUAUAGCCUUUGACUCCUGCAAUCGGAGAGACUGAGGUCUGCAGCGUAGAUCCUUCGGGGUUAGAUACAUUUGUGCUAAGUUAUAGCUUUUUAUAGACAACUUGUUGACUAUGAUUAGUCUUGUAGCUUACUCGCUUAUGCUAUUUUACCUACGCUUAGGAUGUUGAAGAUGUAGCACAUCA
This 777-nucleotide ribosomal RNA is filed under the name uncultured Neocallimastigales. Its description in RNAcentral is "partial large subunit ribosomal RNA". It matches the Rfam family "Eukaryotic large subunit ribosomal RNA", at positions 24 to 642 of the family's 3401-position model. The record is from RNAcentral. Lineage: Eukaryota; Fungi; Neocallimastigomycota; Neocallimastigomycetes; Neocallimastigales.